Molecule: long non-coding RNA, 622 nt
Organism: Prunus dulcis (almond)
Lineage: Eukaryota; Viridiplantae; Streptophyta; Magnoliopsida; Rosales; Rosaceae
Exons: 2
Source: RefSeq, a predicted model, not a curated record
GCCAUGCUUUCCCUGGAUUUGGGUUUUUCUUCGAUUCCUACACUCAGAACUUUCCCUCUCUGUGUGGAUCAAGCUAAGGCUGAUCGGCGAGAUCCAUUUCCAUCUCCACGGAACGUCACUGGGAUAGUGAGUGAAGAGAAAGCAGAUUCGUUUAACGUACCAAUAUAUUACAUGUCUCCUCAAGAAUUGGAAGCUUUAGCAUAGAGAGAAUGGAGACCUUGCCUCGCAUCUUGCCACAAGGCACUGUCUCUGGCUCUGGUGCCCAAUUAGUUACAUCUCACAUUAGAGCUGCCGUUGAGGGACUCAUCAAGCAGCACUUUGGAGAUGAAAUCUUAGAUGAGCUCUUUGACUUGUGCCGUAAGAAAUUUGAAGAGCAACCGUCCAUGUAUGAGUCAGGGAUGCCGGUUAAUUUUCUUGCUGUGCUUAAACGCAAGGCAACCUGUUGUUAUGGUGUGUUUGGUGUUUGUGAAGCUAUAGUUAAACUUUCUUGAGCUUCCUAUCUUGUUAUGUGACUGAUUAAAGUGGCAUGUAAAAUCGCAGUUAAUUAUAUAUUUGUAAUAACUUGAGCUUCAUAUAAUAAUAGUGUGAAAAUAAAGCUCAUUUUAGAUGAGCUCUUUGACUU